Molecule: ribosomal RNA, 102 nt
Filed under: Pallidohirschioporus biformis
Lineage: Eukaryota; Fungi; Basidiomycota; Agaricomycetes; Hymenochaetales; Hirschioporaceae
Also listed under: 2 other names
Description: Trichaptum biforme 5.8S ribosomal RNA
Rfam family: 5.8S ribosomal RNA
About the family: 5.8S ribosomal RNA (5.8S rRNA) is a component of the large subunit of the eukaryotic ribosome.
Source: RNAcentral
CAACUUUCAACAACGGAUCUCUUGGCUCUCGCAUCGAUGAAGAACGCAGCGAAAUGCGAUAAGUAAUGUGAAUUGCAGAAUUCAGUGAAUCAUCGAAUCUUU